Molecule: ribosomal RNA, 253 nt
Filed under: uncultured bacterium
Lineage: Bacteria
Description: partial 16S ribosomal RNA
Rfam family: Bacterial small subunit ribosomal RNA
Source: RNAcentral
GACAGAGGGUGCAAACGUUGUUCGGAAUUACUGGGCGUAAAGCGCGUGUAGGCUGCUUCGCAAGUCGGAUGUGAAAGCCCUGGGCUCAACCCAGGAAGUGCAUUCGAAACUGCAGAGCUGGAGUCCUGGAGAGGAAGGCGGAAUUCUCGGUGUAGAGGUGAAAUUCGUAGAUAUCGGGAGGAACACCAGUGGCGAAGGCGACUGUCUGGGGUUUUGCUGACGCCGAGGCACGAAAGCCAGGGGAGCGAACGGG